CCGAAUUCGUCGACAACAGAGUUUGAUCCUGGCUCAGGACGAACGCUGGCGGCGUGCUUAACACAUGCAAGUCGAACGAUGAACCACUUCGGUGGGGAUUAGUGGCGAACGGGUGAGUAACACGUGGGCAAUCUGCCCUGCACUCUGGGACAAGCCCUGGAAACGGGGUCUAAUACCGGAUACUGAUCUACUUGGGCAUCCAAGUGGUUCGAAAGCUCCGGCGGUGCAGGAUGAGCCCGCGGCCUAUCAGCUUGUUGGUGAGGUAACGGCUCACCAAGGCGACGACGGGUAGCCGGCCUGAGAGGGCGACCGGCCACACUGGGACUGAGACACGGCCCAGACUCCUACGGGAGGCAGCAGUGGGGAAUAUUGCACAAUGGGCGAAAGCCUGAUGCAGCGACGCCGCGUGAGGGAUGACGGCCUUCGGGUUGUAAACCUCUUUCAGCAGGGAAGAAGCGAAAGUGACGGUACCUGCAGAAGAAGCGCCGGCUAACUACGUGCCAGCAGCCGCGGUAAUACGUAGGGCGCAAGCGUUGUCCGGAAUUAUUGGGCGUAAAGAGCUCGUAGGCGGCUUGUCGCGUCGGUUGUGAAAGCCCGGGGCUUAACCCCGGGUCUGCAGUCGAUACGGGCAGGCUAGAGUUCGGUAGGGGAGAUCGGAAUUCCUGGUGUAGCGGUGAAAUGCGCAGAUAUCAGGAGGAACACC
This 703-nucleotide ribosomal RNA is filed under the name Streptomyces sp. 'Mali 226'. RNAcentral's name for it is "partial 16S ribosomal RNA". It matches the Rfam family "Bacterial small subunit ribosomal RNA", at positions 1 to 710 of the family's 1533-position model. Lineage: Bacteria; Bacillati; Actinomycetota; Actinomycetes; Kitasatosporales; Streptomycetaceae. The record is from RNAcentral.